AUGAGCAUUCUAACCUCUGCGAGCUUGAUUAGAUCCUCUGAAGAUGAAAGUAAGAUGCUUGAUAAACUGGAGAUUAAGGUGCGCCUGCCCAAUGGCAAGCUUGUUGUAGGAAAACUGUGGAAAUAUGAUCUUUAUUAUAAUAUUGUUGUUGUGAACACCAAGGCUUUUCCAGAACUUCGUGCAGCAUGCUUUCAUAAUGAGGUGGGACACUGUUGUACAAAACUUGCAAAUACGAUUGCCAGCAACUCAUGGCAUUUACUUGUAAGGACACAAAGGAGAGUUCUGCAGCCAUGGCAUGGUCUGAGGACUGGAUCACUUCAAGCUGAAAAACUGUGUGUCCGUGAAGAAGUACAUGACAGCUUCCCCCAUGCACAUGGCAUUUAA
RNAcentral lists this ribosomal RNA (384 nucleotides) under Triticum aestivum (bread wheat). Its description in RNAcentral is "partial small subunit ribosomal RNA". The record is from RNAcentral. Lineage: Eukaryota; Viridiplantae; Streptophyta; Magnoliopsida; Poales; Poaceae.